Molecule: ribosomal RNA, 615 nt
Filed under: Scheffersomyces tanahashii
Lineage: Eukaryota; Fungi; Ascomycota; Pichiomycetes; Serinales; Debaryomycetaceae
Description: partial large subunit ribosomal RNA
Rfam family: Eukaryotic large subunit ribosomal RNA
Source: RNAcentral
UGUAUAUCUCAAAAAGCGGAGGAAAAGAAACCAACAGGGAUUGCCUUAGUAACGGCGAGUGAGCGGCAAAAGCUCAAAUUUGAAAUCUGGCACCUUCGGUGUCCGAGUUGUAAUUUGAAGAAGGUAACUUUGGAGUUAGCUCUUGUCUAUGUUCCUUGGAACAGGACGUCACAGAGGGUGAGAAUCCCGUGCGAUGAGAUGUCUAACUCUAUGUAAAGUGCUUUCGAAGAGUCGAGUUGUUUGGGAAUGCAGCUCUAAGUGGGUGGUAAAUUCCAUCUAAAGCUAAAUAUUGGCGAGAGACCGAUAGCGAACAAGUACAGUGAUGGAAAGAUGAAAAGAACUUUGAAAAGAGAGUGAAAAAGUACGUGAAAUUGUUGAAAGGGAAGGGUUUGAGAUCAGACUUGGUAUUUUGUAUGUCUUGCUUUCGGGUGGGGCCUCUGCAGUUUACUGGGCCAGCAUCGGUUUGGAUGGUAGGAUAAUGACAUUGGAAUGUGGCACUACUUCGGUGGUGUGUUAUAGACUUUGUUGAUACUGCCUGUCUAGACCGAGGACUGCGUCUUUGACUAGGAUGCUGGCAUAAUGAUCCUAAACCGCCCGUCUUGAAACCACGGACCA